This 150-nucleotide microRNA precursor is filed under the name Sarcophilus harrisii (Tasmanian devil). RNAcentral describes it as "microRNA sha-mir-216a precursor". Its record names the gene sha-mir-216a. The stretch from base 23 to 98 matches the Rfam family "mir-216 microRNA precursor family". Lineage: Eukaryota; Metazoa; Chordata; Mammalia; Dasyuromorphia; Dasyuridae. The record is from miRBase by way of RNAcentral.
AAGGCUAACCUGGAUGGCUGUGAAUUGGCUUAAUCUCAGCUGGCAACUGUGAGAUAUUAAUAAAUUCCCUCACAGUGGUCUCUGGGAUUAUGCUAAACAGAGCAAUUUCCUUGCCCUCAUGGAUCAAUAGACUUGCUCACCAACCUAAAU